GCUGUGACAUAAUGGAGCUCGCUGUUAGCCAUUUUCAAACCCCACAUCCCUGACCCACCUUCUAUGAGAUCUGCACCCCUUGCACUGGAAUCUGCCAUCCACAUUUUCAUCUCAAUAACAUUCUCUCUUCUCUCUGCUGAAAAUAGUCUUCACUGCCUUCUCCAUGUUUCUGGCUCCCUUUCUUCAGACUCUUAAGAAAUUGCUCUUGUCAACCCCACUCUGGCCCUUUAGUCUUUAACUUGAUGCACAAGUUCUGUGUGCCCAGGGAUCUUAUAAACUUCUAAAGGGCAAGACAGGGAUUGUGUCUACACUACUGAGGGACAGACAUGUGUCUUAACACAUUCCUGCAGCCCAGCAGUGAUCAUGCAUGCAGGAGUUGUGCUGUCUUAUUCCAUAUGGGGUCUGCAGUGUGUUCUAGGAGUCAGUUACAUAAUUCAGUGAAUGACUUAGAAGAAAGAGAGGAAAGGAAGGAAAAUUUGUAAAACUGACCAUUUCAAGUUCCUCAUAGGUCAGGUUUUUAAAAUGUCAGGCCGGACAUUUUGUUUCUACUUUAAAAAAAAAAAACUGGAGAAGCUGAAGAUACUACUAGUAUGAACGUAUGUUGAGUCAUCUCAGUGACUGUAAAUUAACUGCAGAUCUCGAUUGCCUUUCUUAAGUGCAUAGUUGUCUCUAGAAAAGCAAAGGCAAGUUAGUUGGGGUGUCAAUGGAGGCUUUCCACACCUUCCUAUUUUCCCUUGAAACACAAGGUUGUUAUUUAAGCUGGACUAUAGGAAUUGGCUUCCUAGGUUGUUGACCUACAGGGUCUACCAGAGGGCCUGAUGUUAUUAUGUAAGCCACAAUUUAGAAGGCCAGGUACCUUCAAACCUUCCUGUAGGUUUCGUUCAGAUCUGGUGUUGACCAGAGGAAGUGGGGAGCUAAUAGUGGGAUUGCGUGGUACAGUGGAACACACUAGGAAGUCAGCCUACCUUCCCAAGUGCUCUAAGCUCAUUUGGUUCCCCUCUACUUUACUCUUUGCAUCUGCCAAACAAAGCAGCAAACUCCAUUUCCCCUCUAUGGAAAAUAUGGCUGGUUGAGCCAUACAGUGUGAUAGAGCUUGCCUAUGUUGUCUGUCAGGGCUGUCAUGGAGCACAAAAGGUGGCUCAGUGUUCUGUUAACUUGACUGGUUCAUUGGGUUCCAGUGGUUGAGUUUGGUGGAUGCCCUGUUGUGGUUUCACCUCAGAAGGAGUUUGCAGGUUGGUAGCUUCCUAAGACCUAGGAAGCUGCUAGGAUGCAGUACAGCCCUUCAGUACCCUGGAGUUCUGCAGAUGUAGGUCCAGCCAGUGCCAUACUUACAAUGGGAUUCUAGCUGAGCAUGGUGCCACACACCUUCCAUUCCCAGCAUUUGAGAAGCAGCGUUAGGAAGGUUGAGAACCACUGCUCUAAGCAGUGCCGUACGGUUGACUGUUUACGCAGCGUUUGUGCGCUCUCAAGUAUGGCAAACCAUCUAGCUCUGAUUUCUAGUAUGCAGGAAGAAAAACUUAAAUCAUAUGCAGAUUUACCAUCUAUAAUAAGAAACUUGCUCAUCUCAGAUUUUCAUGUCUGAGGGAGGGAUCUUGAACCCAUCCCCCAUGGAUACUGAGAGCUGACUAUUUGUCAUCUGCCGUUUUAUGGAAAUGACUCUUCAGAUGAUAAUGCAUUCAUAAUUUCAUGUGGAUGACUUGACAAUGUUUCUGUAUUUUCAAUGUCCCAUUGAUAAAUGUAGUCUAACCCCCCCCCAAAAAAUUAUGGAGAUAUUAAGAAGGUAGGCCCCGCCCCACACCUUUCAGUUCCAAAAGUAUCCUCGGGGCAAUUACAAGCUGUUAGGAGUAUCACACACUAGUAACACGGCGGAUACCCAAGCUUACAGCACAGAAGUCAUUAAUCAUGCCUGCUCUUGACAGGGAGACUGUUUUCUAGGUUUUAAAAAAGAAAAUCUUAAAAGCUUAUGCUGUUUUGUUUGUUUGUUUUUUUUAUUAAGGAGUAAUUUGGAGCCAGUAACUUAACCUGUUUUUCAUAAAUGUGCUAGCUAGAGGCAGCCAAAAAAAACAAAACAACAAAUCUCUGCUUUCAGAGUUAGGGUCCUUAUAUGAACUUCUGUGUAGGAUCAUGAUAACUCUAGUAACUGCCUGAGUUAGUCUUUCUGAGUUUAGUACAGACCCUGAUAUAGGAUUUGAUUUACAUGGCCCAGCCCUGCUCUUCUGAAGUCUUCUAAUUAAAACCUGUCACCAUACUUACUGUUCAACCUGUCCCCAAGAAACAAACCAUUUGUUUCCUUUGCAUAUCAUGGUUUUGUGUUUGAGUCGUGCGUUUAGAGCUCGAGACUUUGCCUUUGAAAAGAGUGUAUAUAGCCUCAACUCCUAUCUUUGUAUCCCCACUAUCACUACAAUCCCUGGCACACAGUAGGACCUCAGAAAUAUUUAUGGUAGAAAUAUCCAGAGGAAUCACUCUGGCUGCUCUUGACAGUUAUCACCUGUGUCUAAGGCGAAAUGCUCUUAGGAAAAUGGAAGCCAUCAAACACUUCAGCUUCAAUAAUGUGCUUUUUCCUGUUUAUGAGAGUUUUCUCAUCAAAGAAUCAUGUUCCAGCUAAAACAAAACAACUCUUGUCUUUACGCUUACUUCAGCUUUAUUUUCUCUUACUCAGCAUUUUAACUCCACCAGAAUUGAUAUAUCGGUUCAAUAAGACUUGAGCCGUCUGGGGACCAAUUGUGUAGGAAAGACAUGGAACUCUUUAGGUUACCAGAAAUCCCAGGAGUUAGAGUCUCUUUCUCCAUUGUGGAUUCAUGUGACUGCUCAAAGAGAGGAGGCCUCACCAAAUGAACCAUUUACCUAAGGGCCCUUUGCCCUUUAAACUGAAAGGGUUUUAGUUGGAGAUGGUAUUUGGGGCACCCCAUAAGGUAGCUGGUAUAAACCUAGCAGUUAAGAAGGAGUCAACCUCUACUUCUGCACACAUGCAUUUACUUGGGCUCAAUCUGCUAAUGAUGGUUUGGGUUGAGAAUUUGGUUCAGAGGUUAGAGGUCAUGACCGUCUAGAUACCCAGAUACUUGCCUGUGUUUAUGAGGGACAGGAUUGAUCUGUUCACCAGGUUUAUAUUGAUCUAAAAAUCACAUCCUGUGUUACAAUAACUGCAGACAUUUUAGAUGGCCAGGAGGAGAGACCACGCCGCACACUGACUGAGCUGCCAGGGAAGAGCAGCGUAGUAACUGGUAGGCUGAUAGGGCAGGACCCGACAAGUAGCCAGCCUUCCCCACUCUGGAGACUAUACACACCCCAUGCACCCCAGUUCUGACUUGGAGCUAUUAUUCUACCGAGCCCAUUGGAACAUUUUCCAAGUAGUUUUUCAGUUUGGCAAUAAGAUAGGUAGGAACCCAUCCAUAGCUGAUACAAGCAAAGUGUGAGUACACAUCUUUUUUUCAUUACUGCACUUUCUACAGAAGGCUUGGAGGAUGGGGAAAGGGAUGAUUUUAAGGAACAAUUUUCUCUUUAAUGAUUUCUUUCUCCGUACAAAGGAAAAGGACUGAAGGUGUAGGGUCAGUGAAAGCCAGGCAAACACAAGAAGUUCACGUAAGUUCAGUCCACAGCCCCGUUGAGAGAGAGAGAGAAACAGAGAAUAUGAAUUUCUAUACCGAGGAAGGACCCAAACAACCAAGAGUAAAUGUUUUGCAACUUAAGGAAGUUAAGUUUAGGGAACAGGAUGAUCAAAGAGCCGGAACAGUCGCAGUCCCUGUAGACGAGAUGUUGCCGUACUCUGUAGACAGAAGAAGUCUAGAGCAAGUCUGAGCAGCUUCAGACCUGGCUGCUUUCUGGAAAGAAAGCUGUUCCACAAAACCUCUGGAACCAGCUCCUAUAGAGCAAAGGAUGACAUCAUUCCUUAGGACGCUAAAAGUUGGUUCCAACUACAUCUUCUAGAGAACCACACAGCUGUGUUGUCAAGGGUGGUGCACAAAUGGGGGGAGUGUGUGAUGUGGACCUUUGUGGAAGAAUAAUGUGUUUAUAAAUUUGAAGUUUGUUCUCUGUCUCUCUCUGUCUAUCUGUCUGUCUCUCUCUCUUUCUCUCUCUAAUCUCCAAUGACAUUGUGACUUCACUCAUCUUCUGUCUCACCUGAGUAACAUCCGAUUCCCCAAAAGUUAUGAAGACAUGGAGGGAGCAAAAUCGGAAGAGCUGUAACACAAGCCAGCUCUGUAGUAUAAUGACCCUACUUACCAGGGACAAAGUGACAAAGCAAACUAAAGAGUAAGCCAGCCUCCCAGGCUCUCUGCUUCCUCCUCAGCUUCAU
RNAcentral lists this long non-coding RNA (4291 nucleotides) under Mus musculus (house mouse). Its description in RNAcentral is "long non-coding RNA chr7:68109064-68113355". The record is from RNAcentral. Lineage: Eukaryota; Metazoa; Chordata; Mammalia; Rodentia; Muridae.